RNAcentral lists this non-coding RNA (102 nucleotides) under Thioalkalivibrio sp. RNAcentral's name for it is "Glycine sequence". It matches the Rfam family "Glycine riboswitch aptamer". Rfam says of the family: This family represents the bacterial glycine riboswitch. The record is from RNAcentral. Lineage: Bacteria; Pseudomonadati; Pseudomonadota; Gammaproteobacteria; Chromatiales; Ectothiorhodospiraceae.
CACACCGUUCUGGAAGAGAUCUGCGAUCGCAAGUCGAUUGGCAGACGCCGAAGGCGCAACAUCCGCCCGGAAUCGCUCAGGCUACCGGACCGGAACGGUGCA